GCUUUCUCAUGGGGACCGGAGAACUGGUUUGCCUGUGUGUGCAGGACCCGGGGCUGGACUGAGCAACCCACAGAGAAUUGUGGGGACCCCAGUCUGCCCUGGGAGUGGCCUUGGAGGUGGAAAAUGCUGGCAAAACUUCUUGGCGAGUCAGGGACGACUUCCUGGUGGAGGUGAUGUCUAAGUUCAGGCCUGAACGGUGAGGAGACAGAGACUAUGUAACUCACCUACAGCCAGGAUGCCAGACCAAGACGCAUGCCCAAACAAUCUGGCUCCAGAGCCUGUGCUUUUCUCCACAGCGCCCAUCUGCCGCCUGGACCUGGCUCAUGGCCCAGCAGUUUGUGACCUCUGGUAGAACGAAGAUCUUCAGGAAAGCAACGUGCUGUGCUAAGGGGCCACAUUUCCCAAUUCCCCGUGCACCCGGGGGUGGCCAAUGAGGAGCAAGCGAAAGCUGCAGGGGAAGCUCAGGAACAAGCGUGCAGGAAAGCUCUGUGUUAGAGCGUGGACUGCCUCAGCUGGGAGCACGACUCCCGCAGACCCAGAGACUCCAAUAUGCAACCAGGAUGUCCCACAGAACCCUCCAGCUCGGUGGCCUGCAAGGGUCUCCUCACGUGAUUUCGCCCCCGCAGCUCAGCUGGUGCAUCUUCUUCUGCCUGCUUGGCCAAGUUGCAAGCCCAGAACUCAUCCUCGUUUUCGUCUUCCCCCCCUUCCCCCCUCAACUCCUCCUAGGCAAUCACUCAUCAGGAUCUAGCAGUUUACUGUUUCACACCCAUUAGGGUGAUGGCUGUUAUCAAGACCCAGAAAUGACAAGUGUUGGUGAGGCUGUGGAGAAAUUGGAAGCCUUGUGCAUUGCUGAGUGGGAAUGUGACGUGGUGCAGCCACUGUGGAAGACAGAAUGGUGAUUCCUCAAAAAGUUAGGCACAGAAUUGCCAUAUGAUCCAGCAAUUCCACUUCUAAGUAAAUGCUCCAAAGAAUUGAGAGAAGAGUCUCAAUGAGAUAGUUGUACAGUUACGUUCAUAGCAGCAUUAUUCACAAUAGCCAAAAGGUGGAAGCUGCCCACACGUCUACUGGCAGAUGAAUGGAGAAGCAAAAUGUGGUGUGUCCACACAACUCAGCCUUCAGAAGGAAAUUUGAAACAUGCUGCAACAUGGAUGAACCUUGAAGGCAUCAUGCUAAGUGAAAUAAGCCAGUCACAAAAGGACAAGUGGAACUGGAGGAUUCUACUUCAAUGAGGUACUAAGUAAGUCCUCACUUAAUGUCAUCAAUAGGGUCUUAGAAACUGCAACAUUAAACAAAAUGAGCAUAAUGAGACCAAUUUUACCACGGCUAAUGGACAUAAACGAGAGUUAAAUUCAUACAGCAUAUUUCUGGUCACAGAAACAUCAGCAAACUUCUAAUAUUAGAUAUUAAAACAAAUGUGAGAAUGCACUUAAGGAAGGGAGAUUAAUAAAAACAAGAUCCUUAUUUUCUAACACACUUAUUCCAGCUCAGGGUUUCGGGUGGCCGGAGCCUCUCCCUGCAGCCCAGGACACCAGGUGGGAGCCCGCCCUGGACGGGGCACACCGUGCACCCCUACUCCCACUCAGACGGGGGCAAUGCAGGCAGGCUAGUCCACCUCACACACACGUCUUCGGGAUGCAGUGGGAAGCCGGAGGCCCCAGAGAAAACCCACGCAGGCAUGGGGAGAAUAAACCACGCAGACAGUGGCCCAGCCAGGUGUUGGGUUUUUUUCCCUCAUCAA
This is a long non-coding RNA of Phyllostomus hastatus (greater spear-nosed bat), 1738 nucleotides long. RefSeq lists it as uncharacterized. The transcript has 4 exons. The record is from RefSeq and is a predicted model, not a curated record. NCBI's taxonomy places the organism in Eukaryota, Metazoa, Chordata, Mammalia, Chiroptera, Phyllostomidae.